This is a non-coding RNA of Beta vulgaris subsp. vulgaris (sugar beet), 102 nucleotides long. The record is from Rfam. NCBI's taxonomy places the organism in Eukaryota, Viridiplantae, Streptophyta, Magnoliopsida, Caryophyllales, Amaranthaceae.
AUGAGCCGGGUGAGGGGAAACUUUCACAUCCGGUUUUGAAGGGGGGAGAUCUUAAUCCCGAUUUUUCAUUUGCUAGGCCUAUAGCAAAAAAACCUAUUUUUU